This 519-nucleotide ribosomal RNA is filed under the name uncultured eukaryote. RNAcentral describes it as "SSU rRNA". It matches the Rfam family "Eukaryotic small subunit ribosomal RNA", at positions 1161 to 1699 of the family's 1831-position model. The record is from RNAcentral.
AGGGCACCACCAGGAGUGGAGCCUGCGGCUUAAUUUGACUCAACACGGGAAAACUCACCCGGCCCGGACACUGGAAGGAUUGACAGAUUGAGAGCUCUUUCUUGAUUCAGUGGGUGGUGGUGCAUGGCCGUUCUUAGUUGGUGGAGUGAUUUGUCUGGUUAAUUCCGAUAACGAACGAGACUCUAGCCUACUAAAUAGAUCGUCGGCUUACAAACGCCGGCGAGACUUCUUAGAGGGACAGGCGGCGAUUCAACCGCACGAAACAGAGCAAUAACAGGUCUGUGAUGCCCUUAGAUGUCCGGGGCCGCACGCGCGCUACACUGAAGUGAUCAGCGUGCUUUUUCAACCUACUCUGUCAAGAGUGGGGAACCCAAUGAACCUUCUUCGUGAUUGGGAUAGGGGAUUGUAAUUAUUCCCCUUGAACGAGGAAUUCCCAGUAAGCGCGAGUCAUAAGCUCGCGUUGAUUACGUCCCUGCCCUUUGUACACACCGCCCGUCGCUACUACCGAUUGAAUGUUUU